Sciurus carolinensis (gray squirrel) is the source of this 527-nucleotide non-coding RNA. The record is from the annotation of a RefSeq genome assembly. NCBI's taxonomy places the organism in Eukaryota, Metazoa, Chordata, Mammalia, Rodentia, Sciuridae.
CUAGACCAGCUGACUUCUCACUGGCUCUGGCUCCUGGAGGAAUGGACAGGCUACUGGGAGUCUCGUUUUUAAUUCUAGGCCUUCACCUCACCUGGGUGAGUGGCCAACAGAAGGGGAAAAGUGACCAGCAGCAGGUGAAGCAAAGUCCUCAAUCUCUGACUGUCCAGGAAGGAGGGAUUUCAACCCUGAACUGUUUUUAUGAGAAAAGUACAUUUGACUACUUCUCAUGGUACCAGCAAUUCCCUGGUAAAGGCCCAGCAUCGUUGAUAGCCUUAAGUUCAGUUAGGACAAAAGCGGAAUUUGGAAGAUUCACAGUUUUCUUCAACAAAAGUGCCAAACAUAUCUCCUUGCACAUCAUGGAUACUCAACCUGCAGACUCAGCCACCUACUUCUGCGCAGCAAGCACACAGUGCUCCCCAGGCACCUGCAACCUGAACUCAAACCUGCAGUUGAGGCUCCAGCAAAGCCCUCUGCAGGGCUUAGACUGGCAGAAAUACAGACUGGCUUUCAUUUGCACAAAUAGGUGA